AUUGAACGCUGGCGGAAUGCUUUACACAUGCAGUCGGACGGCAAACCGGACUACGGUUUGGUGUCUACUGGCGAACGGGGGACUAAUGCGUCGUAUCAUGCACACUCGUUGGGGAUAGCAGAUCGCUAGAAGAAACAAUACCGCAUACGUCCUAAUGGGGCAAGCGGAGAGUCGCUAGACUUCGCGCGAUUGGCCAGCCCGAGGUGCGAUUAGCUAGUUGGUGGGGUAAAGGCCAACCAAGGCGACGAUCUGUAGCUGGUCUGAGAGGAUGAUCAGCCACACUGGAACUGAGACACGGCCCAGACUCCUACGGGAGGCAGCAGUGGGGAAUUUUGGACAAUGGGGGCAAGCCUGAUCCAGCCAUUCCGCGUGUGUGAAGAAGGCCUUCGGGUUGUAAAGCUCUUUCGGCAGGGACGAAACGGUGAAAGAUAACAUAGUCGGUUAAUGACGGUACCUGAAGAAGAAGCACCGGCUAACUACGUG
This 483-nucleotide ribosomal RNA is filed under the name uncultured bacterium. RNAcentral's name for it is "partial 16S ribosomal RNA". It matches the Rfam family "Bacterial small subunit ribosomal RNA", at positions 30 to 507 of the family's 1533-position model. The record is from RNAcentral.